GAAAUUUGCGUAGGACUAUAAAUUAAGUACACAUCAGAGGUUUCGCACGCUCCCUCAAAAUUGAGUGCACUGCUCUGAUCUUAUCUCUGCUUUCACUCCGAUUCCAAUGGAUGCCCUUCAGGCCACCUACAGAGAGGAUGACGACGACGCAACCAACGCCUCCCCUUCUCCACCCUCACCCGCUCCCGCCCUCGAUGUAGGACCCACCACAACCCCCACCCAAUUGCCUGAAAACGGAAUCAAGGAGGAGCCUGACGCCGCUGCUGUAGAUCCCUCCGAAGACGUUUCGUCCGAAGAAGCUUCCGUCUACGGAACUCCGCCGCAAGCCCUAGACACCGAUCUCCCCGAUUCGCACAAUUCCCCAAAUCUCCCCGCCGAAUUGGAACUCCAGGGCAACGAAUUGGACGAGGACGACCCUGAGCCCUCUCCUAAAAAGCAGAAGCAUCUAUCCGACCUGCCGGAACCCCCCGCCGCCGCGAUUGAACUCGCGCAACCGCCCUCGACGGCCGACGCAGCCGCCCCUCCGGCGCAGGAUGGGAAGCCCCUCGCUCCCAAAUCGUCCGGCAAAAAAUCGAAGAAGAAGAGCAAGGACGUGUGGACCACCACCACUAGGAAAGGUAAGAAGAAGGCAAAGCAAGCCUCCAAUGGCAACCACAAUUCCAAAAAUCCUGUGAACGGGGCCGCCUUGGCUGAAGAUAGAGUGUUCAUAUCUCCAAUCCCUAGGUUUCCCGACAAAAACGACGAUGUCCCGGAGCUCGACAUCUGCCUCUCGAAGGUUUACAAGGCGGAGAAGGUUGAGCUGAGUGAGGAUAGAAUGAGUGCAAGCAGCACAAAGGGGUACAGGAUGGUUAGGGCAACGAGGGGGGUGACGGAAGGCGCGUGGUAUUUUGAGAUUAGAGUUGUGCAUUUGGGAGAGACAGGGCACACGAGGCUGGGGUGGUCGACCGAGAAAGGGGACCUGCAGGCUCCUGUUGGAUAUGAUGCUAAUAGCUUUGGUUAUAGGGAUAUUGAUGGAAGUAAGGUGCACAAGGCCUUGAGAGAUAAGUAUGCGGAUGAAGGUUAUAAGGAAGGUGAUGUUAUAGGUUUCUAUAUCAAUUUGCCUGAUGGAAUGUCGUAUGCGCCUGACCCUCCGCGUUUGGUUUGGCACAAGGGGCAGCGCUACAUUUGUGCCCCCAAUGCUAAGGAGGAUGCACUAAAAGUUGUGCCUGGGAGUGAGAUAUCGUAUUUCAAAAAUGGUAUAUGCCAAGGGGUUGCUUUCACGGAUCUCUAUGGUGGCCGUUACUAUCCCGCUGCUUCCAUGUACACCCUCCCUAACCAACCACCUUGUGCUGUUAAGUUCAAUUUUGGUCCUGACUUUGAAAAGUUUCCUGAAGACUUUGGUGACCGUCCUGGUCCGAGACCUAUGGUUGAAGUUCCAUAUCAAAGUUUUGAUGACAAAGUUGAGAAUGGUAGUCCACGGAAUAUUACUCGAAUGUCCCCUAUGUUCAAAGUGAUAAAAGAAGAAAAUAGUAAUAUUGACGAAGCUGCUGAAAUGUCUGGUUAAGCUUGAGCAUGCUCUCAGCUCAGUUUGAUUCAACUUGAAGUGAAGAGCUUCAAACACUGAUGCACCCGGUGUUUGCUUGGCCUACGCACAUACAUAGAGAAUAUCACGGGAAGAUCGGGAAGCAGCCGGAAAAAACCAGCUGUAGCCAUCAUGAUGCCCUAAAACAAGAAGUUCGAUUUGUGCGUUUUGGCAAAUGGUUCUAUGAACGAAGAGGAGAAUGAUAUAGUAUAUACUUACAAUGAAACCUGCACCGACAACAACGCCCAUCAAGAAAUUGGGGACGAGGGCAGCGACCACCAUCAUGCAGCUCUCAACGACAGAGAUGGAGAGAUGAAGGUCAAUGAAAGCGUACAUGAAGUGGGAGAAGCCAGGGUGGUACUUCACCAUCGAGUAUGUGAUAGACACCGAAGUCAGUGACAUCACAGCCAAGAAAGGAAACGAAGAGAUGAAGUUAGAUAGUAUGAACACUCCUACACCAUAAUGUCCGUUGAGCCUUUCUUUGCAAAAUACCUGUUUACAUAACAAAAUAGGGCGGGAUUUACCAACGACUUGAUAUGCAUCAUGGUUUACCAACGGAAUACUGACAGGAUGGGAAGCCACCAAUGGCCAUGAAUGUCAUAAAACCAGACACAAAUCCACCACAUGCCCCUCUAGCAAGAAUGGCAUGAUAACCGGAUCCAACGUCGUGGAAGACUGAGCCCACGCAAAGAGACACCACUAUAUAUAUCACAAUCCGCAGCCAGUAAUACCCAAAAUCUCUACACAUGUUUGU
This is a non-coding RNA of Salvia hispanica, 2315 nucleotides long. The record is from RefSeq and is a predicted model, not a curated record. Lineage: Eukaryota; Viridiplantae; Streptophyta; Magnoliopsida; Lamiales; Lamiaceae.